RNAcentral lists this ribosomal RNA (460 nucleotides) under uncultured bacterium. RNAcentral's name for it is "bacterial SSU rRNA". It matches the Rfam family "Bacterial small subunit ribosomal RNA", at positions 338 to 793 of the family's 1533-position model. The record is from RNAcentral.
CCUACGGGAGGCAGCAGUGACGAAUAUUGGUCAACGGAGGCAACUCUGAACCAACCAUGCCGCGUGCAGUGAUGACUGCCCUAUGGGUUGUAAACUGCUUUUAUACAGGAAAAAACCGCGCUACGUGUAGCAUCUUGACGGUACUGUAAGAAUAAGGACCGGCUAACUCCGUGCCAGCAGCCGCGGUAAUACGGAGGGUCCGAGCGUUAUCCGGAAUCAUUGGGUUUAAAGGGUCCGCAGGCGGACAAUUAAGUCAAAGGUGAAAGCCCAUCUCUCAACUAUGGAACUGCCUUUGAUACUGGUUGACUUGAGUUAUACGGAAGUAGAUAAAAUAAGUAGUGUAGCGGUGAAAUGCAUAGAUAUUACUUAAAAUACCGAUUGCGAAGGCAGUCUACUACGUAUAUACUGACGCUGAGGGACGAAAGCGUGGGGAGCGAACAGGAUUAGAUACCCCUGGUAG